AACGAACGCUGGCGGCAUGCCUAACACAUGCAAGUCGAACGAGAGCUUCGGGUCUAGUGGCGCACGGGUGCGUAACGCGUGGGAACCUGCCCUUAGGAUCGGCAUCACACCCCGAAAGGGGUGCUAAUACCGGAUAAUGUUAUCGCACCAAAGAUUAAUCGCCCUUGGAUGGGCCCGCGUUGGAUUAGCUAGUUGGUAGGGUAAAAGCCUACCAAGGCGACGAUCCAUAGCUGGUCUGAGAGGAUGAUCAGCCACACUGGGACUGAGACACGGCCCAGACUCCUACGGGAGGCAGCAGUGGGGAAUAUUGGACAAUGGGCGAAAGCCUGAUGCAGCAAUGCCGCGUGAGUGAUGAAGGCCUUAGGGUUGUAAAGCUCUUUUACCCGGGAUGAUAAUGACAGUACCGGGAGAGUAAGCUCCGGCUAACUCCGUG
This 433-nucleotide ribosomal RNA is filed under the name uncultured bacterium. Its description in RNAcentral is "partial 16S ribosomal RNA". It matches the Rfam family "Bacterial small subunit ribosomal RNA", at positions 29 to 507 of the family's 1533-position model. The record is from RNAcentral.